This 497-nucleotide ribosomal RNA is filed under the name uncultured bacterium. Its description in RNAcentral is "partial 16S ribosomal RNA". It matches the Rfam family "Bacterial small subunit ribosomal RNA", at positions 28 to 507 of the family's 1533-position model. The record is from RNAcentral.
GAUGAACGCUGGCGGCGUGCCUAAUACAUGCAAGUCGAGCGAACGGACGAGAAGCUUGCUUCUCUGAUGUUAGCGGCGGACGGGUGAGUAACACGUGGAUAACCUACCUAUAAGACUGGGAUAACUUCGGGAAACCGGAGCUAAUACCGGAUAAUAUUUUGAACCGCAUGGUUCAAAAGUGAAAGACGGUCUUGCUGUCACUUAUAGAUGGAUCCGCGCUGCAUUGGCUAGUUGGUAAGGUAACGGCUUACCAAGGCAACGAUGCAUAGCCGACCUGAGAGGGUGAUAGGCCACACUGGAACUGAGACACGGUCCAGACUCCUACGGGAGGCAGCAGUAGGGAAUCUUCCGCAAUGGGCGAAAGCCUGACGGAGCAACGCCGCGUGAGUGAUGAAGGUCUUCGGAUCGUAAAACUCUGUUAUUAGGGAAGAACAGAUGUGUAAGUAACUGUGCACAUCUUGACGGUACCGAAUCAGAAAGCCACGGCUAACUACGUG